UUUACUCCUCCACCCCUAAUGUCCCUCUUAUCCUCUCCUGUCAUAAAUAUCCUACACCAUAGCCACCAAAGAGGGAGGGAUACAUUCACUAUCAAUACAUAGAUACACAAGAAAUAAGUCGAUGAUCAUUUUAUUUCUCCAUAAAACAAGAAUAAACAAAACAACCAUCAUUGUGGACAGUAGCCCCAUGGGAACCAUCUUCAAACCUCACCUAUAUUCCAAGUAAUUACCAUUUUGACAAGGUCUCUAACUCAAUGUUUCGGUCAAGGCAUUUUAAGUUUAUAAUUUUGGAGGUGUUGAUGUCGAGUUCCUUGACAUAAAGGGAUUAUCAGUUAAUGCUUGAACCGCGACGAGUGGAGGAGUCAACGUGCGAAGGAGCUCAAAUGGAGUCGUCACCCCACCCCAUCAGGGAUCCGGUACAUUUUGGGAUAUGAUGACAAAGAUAUGCUAUAUCUGACUUCUUGUAUGAAGCGUAUAUGUAGCUUUAUUAAAAAUAAAGCACCUCGUUACUCCCUUCUUUUCUUAUUUCAUAUGUCACUAUUUUAAACGUCUCAAAGACAUGACAACCUUUACUACUAUAUUACAACAACAUGCUUUGAUACAAUUUUUAUAUUAUAUCCACGUAUUAUUUA
Capsicum annuum is the source of this 632-nucleotide long non-coding RNA. RefSeq lists it as uncharacterized. NCBI's taxonomy places the organism in Eukaryota, Viridiplantae, Streptophyta, Magnoliopsida, Solanales, Solanaceae. The transcript has 2 exons. The record is from RefSeq and is a predicted model, not a curated record.